Cucumis melo (muskmelon) is the source of this 655-nucleotide long non-coding RNA. RefSeq lists it as uncharacterized. The record is from RefSeq and is a predicted model, not a curated record. The transcript is spliced from 2 exons. NCBI's taxonomy places the organism in Eukaryota, Viridiplantae, Streptophyta, Magnoliopsida, Cucurbitales, Cucurbitaceae.
UAAAAAAUGUUGUUACCUCAAAAAAAAACUCCAAUGCAAAAUACAAAAAGUCAAUAGAAUACUCUAUAAUUAAAACACUCUUUCCUUUGUAGUCAAUGCGCUCCCAAAACAUCAAAUCAACUAUCGUCUUCCAAACACCUAACCAUACUCACAAACCUAACAUAAAAUUCUUAAUUUCUCUUCCUAAAUCCAUAAUUUCAUCUCUUUCUUCCAUCACCACCCAUAGCCCUUCCUCAUCUCCCUGAUCUAUCUAAUCAGAAGUCGGACUCCUCAUGACUACGACGCUCCUCAGCAAGUCGGUCUAACUGAUCCUCACGACGAAGCCGCUAACUCGAUAAGCCGCCGUCAAAUUCUUCUACCUGCGCUCGCUCCGCUGGUAGGCUGGACACGUACAAAGCAAAAUUGAUCAGGCUGAACGAAGAAGGGAAGACGAAGGGCAUGACCAAAGGAGAAAAAUCACGACAAGAGGAAAAGAUACGUCCACCCAACACAAAUGAUGAAAAAUCACCUCGAGUAUGCUUUCAUUUAAUAUUUAUCUUAUCCAAUCAUGAAACUAUUCCGAUCCUUGAAACUUUCAAUUUUAACAUGUCUAAUUAUGUAGUUUUAUGAAGUUUAGUUUUGACGUUUAAUUUAGUUAAAUUAGAUGUUUAUGAAA